ACGGGGGGUGCGAGCGUUGUCCGGAAUCACUGGGCGUAAAGGGCGCGUAGGUGGUUUGAUAAGGGUGUGGUGAAAGCCCGGGGCUCAACCCCGGGUCUGCCGUGCCGACUGUUAAACUCGAGGGCUGUAGAGGCAGACGGAAUUCCGGGUGUAGCGGUGGAAUGCGCAGAUAUCAGGAGGAACACCAAUAGCGAAGGCAGCUCGCUGGGACGGUACUGACGCUGAGGCGCGAAAGCGUGGGGAGCGAACAGGA
RNAcentral lists this ribosomal RNA (253 nucleotides) under uncultured prokaryote. RNAcentral describes it as "partial 16S ribosomal RNA". It matches the Rfam family "Bacterial small subunit ribosomal RNA", at positions 525 to 777 of the family's 1533-position model. The record is from RNAcentral.